Molecule: non-coding RNA, 26 nt
Filed under: Mus musculus (house mouse)
Lineage: Eukaryota; Metazoa; Chordata; Mammalia; Rodentia; Muridae
Source: RNAcentral
AGCAAUCUCAGAGCCAGGCGCAGGGA